This is a long non-coding RNA of Coffea eugenioides, 704 nucleotides long. RefSeq lists it as uncharacterized. The transcript is spliced from 3 exons. The record is from RefSeq and is a predicted model, not a curated record. NCBI's taxonomy places the organism in Eukaryota, Viridiplantae, Streptophyta, Magnoliopsida, Gentianales, Rubiaceae.
UUUUCUCUGUUUUUCCUUCCCGUUUCCCCCCUCCCCCCUUUUUCCUUUCUUCUCUUUCCUUUUUUUUCAAUUAUAUGAUUCUAACUGAUUUUUUUCCCUUGUUAGAAUUGGUCUGGAUAUGAAGCUACUAAACGCAUGAGACACAGAAAUCAUCUUAAUUGAUCUUGCAGGUGAAAUAUUAGAAAUCUCUGGGUUUUCAGUUCCCUCGCAGCUGAAGCGCGGCCAGUUUAUUCGAGCAAAGAGGCUAAUUUUUCCGAGAAAAGCGCAGGCGAGUCCAACGAAGGUUUCUGCAUCUUCGGAUGAUAAUGGAAGCCCUCCCAAAUCCUUUGAUUACGAUCUCAUCAUUAUUGGCGCUGGCGUCAGUGGUCAUGGAGCUGCACUGCAUGCCGUAAAAAAGUACCACUCAAGAAUGCCUCUGCCAUUUGAUUAACAAAACUACGUGUUUAUUUAUGUGGGAAGCAGAAUCGGCCACCCUUGAAGCUUUAUCAAGAUCAAAGCCUUGAAGCGUAUGACCCUGGAUACUAGAUUUUGCACUAACUGUAGCUAUCUGAUCUUUGCAUUACCUGCUGUAUAUGUAUGUCAGCUCUUGAUGCAUUAUAUCUCACGCGGAUGGUGUUAUCAUAAUAUUUUUAUUUGGUUUAAAAUCUUGUGUAACUGGAUGAGUUAUUUUGUGCCAAGAGUUUGACCAUCCCUUUUGCUACUGA